CCUACGGGAGGCAGCAGUGGGGGAUAUUGCACAAUGGGCGAAACCCUGAUGCAGCGACGCCGCGUGUGGGAAGACGGUCCUCUGGAUUGUAAACCACUGUCCCCAGGGACGAAGAUGACGGUACCUGGGGAGGAAGCUCCGGCUAACUACGUGCCAGCAGCCGCGGUAAUACGUAGGGAGCGAGCGUUGUCCGGAAUUACUGGGUGUAAAGGGAGCGUAGGCGGGGAUGCAAGUUGGGUGUCAAAACUACCGGCUCAACUGGUAGUCGCACUCGAAACUGGCGCUCUUGAGUGAAGUAGAGGCAGGCGGAAUUCGUGGUGUAGCGGUGAAAUGCGUAGAUAUUAGGAAGAACACCGGUGGCGAAGGCAGCCUGCUGGGCUUUUACUGACGCUGAGGCUCGAAAGUGUGGGGAGCAAACAGGAUUAGAUACCCCAGUAGUC
Molecule: ribosomal RNA, 440 nt
Filed under: uncultured bacterium
Lineage: Bacteria
Description: partial 16S ribosomal RNA
Rfam family: Bacterial small subunit ribosomal RNA
Source: RNAcentral